GCCGGGGUGCUGAAACUGGUAGACAGGCUACGUUGAGGGCGUAGUGAUCCUAGAUCGUGCGGGUUCGAAUCCCGCCCUCGGCACCA
RNAcentral lists this transfer RNA (86 nucleotides) under Chloroflexota bacterium. RNAcentral describes it as "tRNA-Leu". It matches the Rfam family "tRNA". Rfam says of the family: Transfer RNA (tRNA) molecules are approximately 80 nucleotides in length. Their secondary structure includes four short double-helical elements and three loops (D, anti-codon, and T loops). Further hydrogen bonds mediate the characteristic L-shaped molecular structure. tRNAs have two regions of fundamental functional importance: the anti-codon, which is responsible for specific mRNA codon recognition, and the 3' end, to which the tRNAs corresponding amino acid is attached (by aminoacyl-tRNA synthetases). tRNAs cope with the degeneracy of the genetic code in two manners: having more than one tRNA (with a specific anti-codon) for a particular amino acid; and 'wobble' base-pairing, i.e. permitting non-standard base-pairing at the 3rd anti-codon position. Lineage: Bacteria; Bacillati; Chloroflexota. The record is from RNAcentral.